This 732-nucleotide long non-coding RNA is filed under the name Sorghum bicolor (sorghum). RNAcentral describes it as "long non-coding RNA (SBIC_LNC017575)". The record is from RNAcentral. Lineage: Eukaryota; Viridiplantae; Streptophyta; Magnoliopsida; Poales; Poaceae.
GUUCUUCAAUUCAUAACUCCUAAGUUCUCUAAUUAAUUUUAUUUACAUUCAAGUUAUUUAUUGGAUUCCCGCUUGCAUCAAGUGCUCUAGUCUUUAUAACGCUAGAGUAGUAAUUAAUAGAUUAGACAUGGUAUUUAGUCUUGCGAUUACCUGGAAUUGCACCCAAUCCUGCGGAUUGUUGUGGUAGCCUUAGGGUAGUGACAGCCCUAACGGUCGACGUAUUCCACCUCGUUCGGAUCGGUGUUUGUAGGACCGUAGUCAGACCUUCCUAGCCCCCUUCUCAUCUCUUUAUGUGGUUACUGCUCUGAUGUCCCGAUAUAGAUAAUCUUGAAGUAAUUCUUGAUUCUUAGAUCAACUAGAGAACUCUCAGGAAAUUUCCUCUCUUCCCACCAAAAAUAAUUAUAUAGUUAUCCUUGGGCGAUUUUGGAUCUUAAUUAGUACACUCACGUUCUCUGUGGAAAAUCGAUACUCUGGAAUACUCCCGGGUGAAGGCUACAUCGGUAUCCGUGCGCUUGCGGAUUUUUCUGUUUGCGUUUAAAAUACCCAACAACCUUCACCACCUUGUGAUCAUCUAGCUCAUCACCACCGUAGCCUCUAAUCUUUCCAUCUAGUGCCAUUGGCCUAUCAAACAUUUCUUGUGGCCCUCCAUCAUCAACUAUCACAAAUCUAUUGAGCUUGGCCAUCAGCAAAUCAAUCUUUGCUCUUCUUACUUUGUCAACACCUUCAUGUGCA